Molecule: non-coding RNA, 9408 nt
Organism: Macaca mulatta (Rhesus monkey)
Lineage: Eukaryota; Metazoa; Chordata; Mammalia; Primates; Cercopithecidae
Source: RefSeq, a predicted model, not a curated record
CCUCAAGUGAUCCUCCCACCUCAGCCUCCCAAAAUGCUGAGAUCAUAGGCGUAAGCCACCACACUUGGCCCCAGCCAAAGGUUUUAAUAGUAAUAUUUUGUAGAAAGAUUUAUCCUUUCAGCACACACAUGGAAAUGAUGUACAUUUCUUCUUGUCAACCUAUACAUUUAUCACUUACCAGGAUACAGAUUUUUACUUUAGUAUUGAGAAGUUAAUAAUAAAUUAAAUAUUCUCUACCUUGAAAAUAAUCCUGUCAACACACAUUUCUAACAAGUGAAUCUUUGGAAGUUUCUAACGGUCAAAACAACACUAUAAUAUUAACUAUUGCUAACAGCAUCUAGAAGGAAAAAGGACAAAUUCAAAAUUUAAAAUGCCCUCUUAAUCCAUAAAGACUACAGAGAACAAUUGCAGUUGAAAAGAAAAAUUUCUGACGCAGAAAAUUUCAACAAUUUAAAAAUAUCAAGAGUAAGAUUAUUCUUCCAAGUAAGUAUACAGAAAUAACCAAAUCUCUUAUCUUCAGGGAAUAACCUAAAAAUUAUAUAAAAUCAGCACCUAGAGGGAGAAAAUAUAAAGAGCAACCUCACAUUCUAUUAUAAAAGUAGUAUUCUGCAUCUACUUAUCAUUAAGAGUGUUCAAAAAUUUGCACUCAAUAUUCUCUUGUUUUUAAAAUACUUCAACUUCUGUAGCAGGAAGGUAAGGCCUUUAAGUCAGUAAAAUGUUGAUGGUAAAUCUAAGAACUGAAAUCUGAUACUGAGUAGGUUCAUGUGUCUUUAUGUCUUCCAGUUGUUCUUUUUUGACAAGUGGAUAAAUUAUUUCUUAGAGAUAUAGUGAGAUGUAAUCCCUUUCCAAAAAGACUCUCUGCAAAUUCAUCAUAAAGACAUCUAAGUUAGUCCAGAGUCCAGUAUUUUCUAAAAUGUUUAAUAAUUCAACGAAUCAGAACUAUCUGAAGAGUACCUUUACCAUGACGUUUAGUUAAAGACCACAGAGAUUAGAAAACACAUUACCCAUCUCAAAGGCAGUUCUUUCCAUGUUACAAGUCCCUUAACGACCUUUACCAUUUCUCCCUCCCUCCCACGUACUCUCUCUCUUUUAAUAAGGUUGAGCAAAUGGGACUUCAUUUUAUCUGAUUGCCAUAGACUAGUGAGAUUAAUUAUUCAUGCUCACACUCUCCCUCUUGUUAAGACCAUGCAUUAGACUAAUUUUUCUCUUUAUUGCCCUAGUUGGGUGAGUCUCAACCCAUGGCCACUUGACUCAUUCUCAGAGGUGUACAGAUAUGCUGGAAAAACCUACCCCAGCUCAAAUCCCAGAGAAAAUAUUCUGCACUAAUGUGGCUGCCAAAGAUGAUGUUGAGGAUGGUUCCUUUUAAGUACCAGGUGUAUAUUAGAGAAGAAUUUGAACAGUGAUUACAGAACAAAUUUUUGCAGGCAUUAGAUGUUUCUGUAAGAAUUAGCUAAAACAGCUAAACCAUGUUGAGGCUGGUUGUGUGCUUUACAAUGGUACUAUAGGAAAUGCAUGACACAGAGAAUUUUUCCUCCUCUUUGGCUUCCAGGUAGACCUAGAAGGCAAUGGGGGAAAAGCAAGCACUAUCUUUAAAAAUAACUUUAGCAGAAAGUUCUCUAUUCAUCUGUUUUUUUAAAUUAGAGACCUUAAAGUAUUUCCAUAAAUCCUAGUCUUAGAAUCUUAACUUGCAAUUUUGUCAGUGAUUCUGAUGUAUCUGAAAUCUAUUUCUAAAAAUCUUUUUCUGAUUUCAAAUAUGAUACAUCUUACAACAAAUUCUAACAUAACAGAAUUCUAUAAGGAAAGUGGUAGCCCUCUGUAUAUUCAUCUCUCAGAAAUCACCACUUUUAACAGUUUGAUAUAUAUACUUCUAGACUUUUCUUCUGCACAUCUGUCUCUGUGUGUAUGCACAUUUUUUUCCUAAAUGGGAUUAUUUCACAACUCCUUUUCCCUACGUGGCAGCACCUAUAGAUAGAUCUUGUACUUUUUCAUGGUUGUGUAGAAUUUCUCUGUGGAUACACAAUUCCAUGUGGAUUGUUUCUAAUUUUUAGAUAAAAUAAAUAAUGCUGUAAUUCAUUCAAGAGCCGGCCAACAGCUAUUUAUCAAUCAUCUUCUAGGCCCUGGAAUGAACGUGCAGGGGCGCUGGGUGGCGUGCAGAAGUCCCAGCCUGCUGCCAGCUGCCAGAGCCCGCCUCUUCCCCAGCUGGGGCCUGACCGCCAGCUGUCCUGCUCCUCCAUAGAUGGGCCUGCCUCUCUGAGGAGACUCACCGACCGUCUUCUAGCCAUGUCCUGGCAGCUGGUGUCUUAAGCAGCAGGGGUAGCGGUCCAGAGUCAGGAAGGAGACACCAGCCACAGUCCCAACAACGGGAAGGCAUCAGCCACCGCCGUGGGCAGGCAGGCCCCACAGCAUCCAGGUGUGGCCUGGACUGGCUUUCCAGGCACUGUGAAGGAAAGAGCUGAGAGAUGGCUCUUGUCCCUGUGGGGGGUGGGGGGGGGGGUGAGUUCAAGGCAGACCAGCUUCUUCCUUCACCCAGUAAAAAAUGGAUUAACACUGCAAGCUUUUCCUAAAUUGGGGGCUGUCACCCUCAUAAUUAAUCAUGAACCACUUGCAUACUGAAAUCACUGUGAAGAGAUUAUAGAGCCUUACCCUCCCAGAAUUUUGGUCCUAUACUGAUGAAUGAGGAAAGGAGCGCUGUGUUUUAAUUUUAUCGAAAUACUGAGUCUUCAUACUCAAAUACCUGCUACAGGCAUUAAACCAACAACAACCACCCCAGCAGCUGGCUCAGCUCCCCAGAAGCCCAGCACCGUCUGUCCAGAGAACUCAGGAGGAGUCGGAAGGCCUCCUUACAAGACGACAGCAUUUUAAAAGCUUUUUCAAUUGAAGAUGAUUUGUUGGCCGCCAUUUAAAAAAGGGAAGUGGCAAAGAGAGCCAAAGGUUAGGAGGUGCUGUGCUGGGCUGAGCAGAGUCUAAGAGAAGAGGCAAGAGAGGAAGAUGCGACUACACUUCCUGGAGAUGACACCAUCUACACACUUUCUGAUCCCUAGUAACCUAUCUCCAUCACUACCUCACAUAUGUGGCUCUUCUGAACGGGGAAGUCGUGAUCAGAAGCCAGAUGCUGGGCAGUGAGGCAGUUAAACCGCCUGCUCUCUCCUUUUCUGUCCACUCCCGCUGCCUUUGUGCUCGCUUCUCCGUGAUGUCCUCGGCACACAGUGCCCGCUCCCCUGGUCAGUGCUGAGAGUCCUUGCUGUCUGCACGUGUCACAUGGUGUUUUGACAAGGCCACCCUGACCUGUGUCUUAUCUUCUUCCGGCUCUUCCCUAGAUCUGCGGUUCUCAGAUACUGGAGGGGAGGAGGCAGUGACUCCAGCAGGUCGGGGAGGCUCUGCAGCACUAUUACCAAGCACCACACCGCAUCCCACCAAACACUGUAACACUCUCCUAGGCUUCAACGCUAAGGUUCCUGGGGGCAGAGAUGUUCUAUCAUUCAUUCACUCAUGUGGCAAUUAUUAAAGGGCAGCACAUCCCAGGUAUAGUGUCAGUUACACAUUCCCGCAUCUCACUAAGUGCCUGCGUUUGUGUUUGGAGGCUCACUGACUGGUACACAAUGCCAGGCAAAUCCAGAGCUUCCCAUAGCCUCAGACCCCGAAGAUACUCAGAUGUUGCUUUUAGUGCGUAACACCUUCCUCCACUCCUGGAUCUUGCUGCUGGUAUGUAAAAGAAGCUGCUCCAUCCUACCCAGAACAGAAGAUGGUUCCACAAAGAUCUCUUCAUACUAUCCAGAUGCCAGAGUGCCCCAACUGAUUCCAGUCUGACAGUCCCACCUCUGACAACAUGGCAGACAAGAAUGUCUGGAAAACCCUGCCAUUUACAGUGACCAUGCUGGAUAAGACUCAGCCUAACAUCAAACAGUCCUUCAGACAUUCUGUUUAAUAAGCAAUCAGAGAAAUCCACAGGAGCCCAAAAUGAAGAGAGCACGAAACCCAGGAAGGUAAGAGAGCAUUCAAGCCAGGGGCUAGUUUGGGCUCCCCCUCCAGUGUCAGGAGCCUGGAGAGCUGGGGAAACAGGAGACCAAGUGUCUGCCCAGCAUGGAGUAGAACCUACAGUCGGGUCCCUGCAGGGCUACAUACAUUCAGUAAAAAGCGAGCAAGAGGGGGAAAAUAUCUAUUGGUGCAGAUAGCUUACCCAGAAACUUCUCUGCCUCAGGUUCAGUUCAGGGUGGAAAACAGUCUGCAGUCACAUGUCUGCCGCCACACAAGUUCUGGGUUUGAGUUUACACCACCUGCAAGGCUAAAAGAACCCAAGCCUAAUAAGGUAUUUUCGGGUUGGUAACAUACCUCCUGGUACCUCGGCAGAAUCUUCUCAGGAGGGAAACAAUCUCAACUCAGGCCCCUUUAAGAAACCUACAAAUCAAGAUCAACUGAGUAUUAGCUCACAAUUAAAAAACAAAUCCAAAUACAGCAAGAAAUGAUUUAUCAUAUGUGAGACAGAAAAACAAGGAGAAUUAGACUUCCAGGCAAGAUCAAAUAAAGAAUACAAAAUAAGCAUGCUGAAAAUGUUGACAGAUUAAAGAGGGAGAGGAUAAAAAGUAGGAAAUCGGAUUAAGCAGAUUUGAAAAAUAAAGCAGAGAAUUUCUAGAAAUUAAAAAGUCAAUGGAUGAGAUAAGCAAGAAAUAAGUCCGAGAGAGAAACUGUGGACUGGAAUACAGAGUUAAGGAAUUAUGCGGAAUGCAACAUAGAGAGAGAUGGGAAAUCUGAAUGGGCAGUGAGCAGCACGAAGGAGGGGAGAAGCUGCCUUCAUGCACACCUCCCCUGAGCUCCACGCAGAGCAUCGCGAUACAUUUCCAAUAAGAUAAGGACCGAGAAUUCUCUACAACUGAAAGGAGGGACACACAAGAAAUCCCAGACAGGAUAAAAAUAAAUAAAUCCACACAAAGAGACACUGGCAUGAAACCACAGAAAAUUAAAGACAAGGAGAAGAUCUUACAAGCAGUCAAAAGGAGAGAAAGUCCUAAAAGAGAAUGACAGACUGACAGCCAACUCAGGAGUGUCAGUGGAAGGCAAACCAGUCACAUCCUCAAAGGCUGAGCGAAAAUAACUGUUGAGCUAGAACUGUAGAAGACUAGCAAAACUACCUUUCAAGGAUAAGGAUGUAAUGAAGAUGCCGUAAGAAAGAAACACAGAAAACACUUGUGACCAAGUCCUUACGAAAGAAACUUCUAAAGAAUGCACUUUUAGGAGACAGAAAAUCAUUCCAGAAGGAGGGUCUGGGUCAACAAAGAUUCAAGUAAUGGGCAUAAAAGAAUGCAGAUGCUGUCUGCAAAAACAACAGUGCUGAUUUGGGGGUUAAAUACACAGAAUAAUCUGUACCCAGUCUUUAUUCCAACCAGUCAAAUGCCAUGAAUCAGGAAAAAGUACCAUAACCAUCAAGAUGCCAGAUGCGCAGGGUGCGACCCCACCCCUGUGUGCAAGGAACAGAAGCUCCUUUGGAUACCUGUGCAAUGUUCGGCACAUAGGAGGGGUUCAGUAUACACUUGAUGAAAGAAUGAGCAGAUGAAUACACACUGCACAUGUCUGCGUGUAUCUACCUCUUCCAGGCGACUGCUAUGCUGGCCUUACAGUAAAGACAGGCUUCACAAAUAGAAAUGGACACACAAAGUCUAUUUGCUGUCCACUAACUGCAAUGUAUAUAGCUGUUUGCUAAGUGCCAGGUAACACUUUUAUUCAGUACAGAUCUUCUAGUACAAGACUAGUGAUGCUCCUUUUUAAAAAACAAAAGAUACAAAAGAAAAAGUCCUAAACAUCUUCAUGGUAGAAUUUACUCAUGUAAACGACCCACGUUGCUAUUCUGACCCAACGAAAGUAAGAUCCACGGAAAUGUGGAAUUGAACUACAAAAAAUGCAAGGUGUGCAUAUCAAUGUUCAUGCACAAAGCUAGAUGAACAGUCUCUAUAAAUUCACAGAUGAGCUAAGACCUUAAAAAAACAGGGAUGAGAAAGACAACUGGGGAGAGAGGGUGAGCCAGUGAGAAAAGAGUAAAUCAUACACAAAACAGCCAAUAAAAAAAUAAAAAAGCAGUUAAUAUACAUGAAUAAUGGAUGUCUGAUUUAAAAGCAGUUUACUCCAAUAUGAUGUCAUUUUUGACAAUCAGCCAGAGAGACUAUUUUGUAAGUCCUUGCCAGAGAUAAGUCAUAGCGUGAGGCUUGGUAACACGGCCGUAUCUGUGAACAUGUGGAAAAUGACUUUCACCACCAUCCCAAAGGUGACUUUCUGUUGGCAAACAGAAACUUGCCUUUCAGGUGCACUUUGCAGCAGCAACCAAGAUGCUAAUCUUGAAGAAAUGGAUCCCUGACACUCCUGACGUUCCCUGCAACAUGGCACCCCUUAACAGUCUCCAUGACAUGCUUCUGGCACCGUCCAUGCUCAAAUUCAGCACAAAGGGAGAAGCAGCCUGAGCCGCUUUCAUGUUUAAGUUUUAAUUGGAGUGACAAGCCCACGAGGCCAAGAUAUUUCAGGGAUGGGACGGUGUUGCUGAGCGUCGCCAGGCGCUGGGUAGGCAAGGCCUGUGUGCGCUCCCUACCACCACGUGCCAAUGCACCUGCAACCCCCGCUGUUCCAGGACUGGACUCUUCCCGGGCAGGCAGUGCCAAUUGCUGCGGGCUGUGCCAAACGUGGGGGCUUUGUGAUGUGGGCAGAUGUCUACAAAGGACCGGAGCGAGGCCAAACCAACACCUAUUGUGACCUAAGCCUGAAAGGAACCCACAGAGCAAGAGUACACUCGGGUACAAAUGCAGGCAAAAACCAUCCAAACCAGCCAAUCUCUCUCUCUCAGCACGUCUGUAGGCGCUGGGAAUAAUAAAGAAAGGCCAGGUCUACUUUGUGGAGUGAGCAGAAUACGGCUUUCUCUUUGCUUUGGGAUCAUUUUCAUCUCAGUGCUGGUGUAAGGGCCUCAUCCCCACAGAGAGCAUGGGCAGCGUUAAAAUGCCAUGAACACUGACCACAUGGAAAGAAUCACCAAGAGAAAGUUAUUAUAUCUAUCUUACAGAGUGAAAACUGAGGCUGCAAACUAUGAAGUGAACUCUUUAAAAUUAAAGGCAACUUGCGUACUAUUUUGAAAAUGAAAAUGUUACCAUGAAAUGCUCAUAAUGUACAAGUAUCUGUAUGCCAACAGGACUUAGUGAACAUUGUACAUGAAAUUCAGUAUAUUACACUAGCUUGGUUAUCGAUUUUCUUUUGAGUAGCCUGGCAACUUCUAGUUUGGCCCCAAGUUAGACUGGACAAAAGCUUCUAGAAGAAGGCAGGCAGGCAGCUAAAAUCAGAUCACUGAAACAAAUAGCCCCAGGGGGAGACUGGGAAGCCACAGUGAAUAAUCAGGUCCUUUGGCAGAGGGCAGCAGGUCCACCCAGGGGCUCCUCCCAGCCACCUAAGGCAUAAACCACCUCUACUCACUCUACACGGUGCAUGGGGUGUGGCAGAGACAUGUGUUUAGCAGCAUUCUGCACAUAAACCAACACUACACAUAUGAGCUCUUCAUAAUACCCAGGACAUGCCUUUCACACAAAUCCCUUCAGAACAUCCUUCCAUUUGAAACUCACAACCACCCAGAGGCAGAGAAGACAAAUACUCCUGCCUACAUUUUGUGCAUCAAGAAACUGAAGCUUAAAUCAUUUUGAGUAGCUGGCCCCGAAUUACAUGGGCAACAAAAGGAGCUGAGGUGGCACUAGGUAGAGCCCAGCUCAUGUUAUUCCUAUGCCACUUUGCGACCAUAUCACAAUGUCUUUCCUGUCCUGCCAAAAUAAUUAAUAAUAGCUAAUAUUUAUAAUAUUCUCUUACAUGCAAAACACUGCUAUGAUGUGUUAUCUCACCUGACCCCCACAAUGCUGUAAGGUAGGUACCAUGAUUUUACUCCCUUUACACAGGAGAAUAUGGGGCCCCAGAGGGCUCAAACCUCUUGCCCAGUUAGGAAGUUUUGGCACGAGGAUUCAAACCUGGAUGGGUGGGCUCAAAGCUCAUGCUCUUUAAACCUCUACCCCAGGGUGCUCAAAGUAUGGUCCCAGGACUAGCAGCCUCCACUGCCCUGGGCACUUGUUAGACAUGCAAAUUCUCAGGCCCCACCCUGGACCCACUGAGUCAGAAGCUCUGGGGGUGGGGCCAGUGAUCAGUGGUUUCAUCAGGUCUCCUGUAGAUUCUGAAGCAUGCUGGCAUGUGAGAACCCCUGUGCUUACCUAUACUGCCUUUCAGGCUAACGAAGACCUUCAGCCAUGACAGUGGUAAGUAUUAUCCAGCUAUCAAUUCUUACUUCCUGCUUCCAAAUUGCUGCCAGUCUGGGGAAGCAAUAGUGCUGGGCGGUGCUGGUAUGAAAAUAUGAGCUGCAGAUCCCGUGUUCUGUACAAGCUCAGGGCCAGAGCUCUGAUGCUCAAUGAGAGCAGAUAGUUGGUAAGGCUGCUUCUGGUAAGUAGGACUCUUUCAAAAGGACAUGGCGGGACAGGAGAGGAAGAGGGGAUGCUAGUGCCAGUCCCCGGUCAGGAAUGAAUGUGGCACAUUCAGGAUGGUGCUAGCCUGGCUGGAGGUCUGGCUGGAGCAAGGGGCUCAUUCUGGAAGCACAGGACUAGACAGCUGGGAGCUAAGAUGGGGCCCAACUCCCCACAGUCCAGAAGGCCAGGCUGAAGACAGGCACCGGGGCCUUACCCAUACUCCUCGCCAUGCAGCCAGUGCUCUGAGAAAACCUGAAGUGGACCGUGAGGAGGGGCACUGACAGGUGGACAGGUGCCACAAGAGUAUAAAGGUGGGGAAAGGGCAGGCGCAAGCCAGGAAGGGGAAAUGCGCUCGGGGAGGCAUUAUUUUCAUGUCAUUUUCAACAUACUUUUAAAACUUACAAUGAUCUUGAGAUCACAGUUAAGAGUUCACAACCCAAGGAAACAGCACAGUGCAAAGAAGCCACCUGGGCCAGAUGGCCUAACCCUGCAAAGACCCAAAGAAAUCUGGAUGAGGAAUUCAGUUUGGGGCCAGUUGGUCAUCCCACGUCCCUGGCACAGUUCUGAGCAGAGGCAAGCUGAGGCUGGAAGCCAGGUCUGGCAGAGCAGCUCCCUGGACAUAGCCCGCUUCCUCAUUUUAAUGCACCUUCAGCCUCAUGGCUCCUCCCGAGUCCCUUAGUUUGGGAUGUGACCGCUCAGAUGUGGGCUGAGCAGGAGUUUUCCUUUGCUCUCUACAAAGGGGAUUUACCCUGUAAAUUAAUAACACACUGAGGGAAUGCUUUAAAGAGUAACUUUGCGUCCAUUAGAAGGAUUCAUCUGCAACUCAAUAAUUGAUAAGUUAAUUACAAACCCUCUCUCUAACACAGUGCCUUAUAGAAGACUGAAGUGCGGAGGAAAUUAAUAAAUCAUAGUCAUCUAUGUGCUGAAUAAAAAGUUAAAGUUC